GGCAGACGGGAGAGUACACGUGGGAACGUACCUUCAGGUUCGGAACAACCAGGAAACUUGGGCUAUACCGAAUACGGUGCGUAAGGCAGCAAAGAUUUAUCGCUGAAGGAUCGGCCCGCGUCUGAUCAGCUUGUUGGUGAGUGUAACGGCUCACCAAGGCUACGAUCAGUAGCUGGUCUGAGAGGAUGAUCAGCCUCACUGGGACUGAGACACGGCCCAGACUCCUACGGGAGGGAGCAGUGGGGAAUAUUGGACAAUGGGCGCAAGCCUGAUCCAGCCAUGCCGCGUGGGUGAUGAAGGCCCUAGGGUUGUAAAGCCCUUUCGGCGGGGAAGAUAAUGACGGUAACCAGCAGAAGAAGCCCCCGGCUAACCUUCGUGCCAGCAGCCGCGG
Molecule: ribosomal RNA, 391 nt
Filed under: uncultured bacterium
Lineage: Bacteria
Description: bacterial SSU rRNA
Rfam family: Bacterial small subunit ribosomal RNA
Source: RNAcentral